Molecule: ribosomal RNA, 397 nt
Filed under: uncultured bacterium
Lineage: Bacteria
Description: bacterial SSU rRNA
Rfam family: Bacterial small subunit ribosomal RNA
Source: RNAcentral
AAUCAACGCUGGCGGCGUGCCUCAGACAUGCAAGUCGAACGAUUAAAGCUCUCUUCGGAGAGUGUAUAGAGUGGCGCACGGGUGAGUAACACGUAAGUAAUCUACCUUCGAGUGGGGAAUAACGUCCGGAACGGACGCUAAUACCGCAUAAUGCAGCGGCAUCGCAAGAUGACAGUUGUUAAAGAUUUAUCGCUUGAAGAGGAGCUUGCGGCAGAUUAGCUAGUUGGUAAGGUAACGGCUUACCAAGGCUACGAUCUGUAUCCGGUCUAAGAGGACGGUCGGACACACUGACACUGAAUAACGGGUCAGACUCCUACGGAGGCAGCAGUCGGGAAUUUUGGGCAAUGGGCGAAAGCCUGACCCAGCAACGCCGCGUGAAGGAUGAAGUAUUUCGGUA